Molecule: unclassified non-coding RNA, 234 nt
Filed under: Hevea brasiliensis (rubber tree)
Lineage: Eukaryota; Viridiplantae; Streptophyta; Magnoliopsida; Malpighiales; Euphorbiaceae
Source: RNAcentral
AUUUUCGCAGGCUAAAAAUUUUGAAUGUUCGUUUGGUUUUACAGACGUGGAAAGGAAUGAUUUUCUUUGACUGGUGAUUUGUCUUGAGAGAAAGGUUCCCAGAAGGUCUGUUUUCUUGCCUGUUNNNNNNNNCCCAAGUGGGGAUUGAAUAGAACAUAUGGAAGUAACCUUGUAUUCUUUUUAUUCUUGCCCAGAACUCGACGUUUAAAGCUGAAGUGAAAUUUCAGCUUCUGC